RNAcentral lists this ribosomal RNA (1269 nucleotides) under Triticum aestivum (bread wheat). RNAcentral's name for it is "partial small subunit ribosomal RNA". Lineage: Eukaryota; Viridiplantae; Streptophyta; Magnoliopsida; Poales; Poaceae. The record is from RNAcentral.
AUGGCGGCGGCGCGCUGGGACGAACUCCCGGAUGACAUCGUCCGGCAUAUCGAGGCCCUCCUCCCUUGCCCGCUCGGCCGCGUCUACAUGGGCGCCUGCUGCAAGUCGUGGCACAGAGCGACCACCACGCCCGCUCCCGCUGCCUCGCCUCCGCGGCUCCUCCCCUGCCUUCUACUCCCGCUCGCCGGUGGUCCGUCCGUCGCCUGCAUCCUGAGCGGCGGCGCCCAGCACGGCCUCGGCCUUCCGGAAGACGCGCGCCGCGCCCGUUUCUUCGGCUCCUACGACGGCAUGUGGGCGUUCCUCGCCCUCGGCAGCAAAGAGGGGCACGUGCUGCUCAACGUCCGCACCGGCGAGCGCAUCCCGCUGCCCGACAUCGACAUCGGGGACCUCUCGAUUAGAUGCCGCCGGGUCCGCGACGACCACGGAGUCGUCCGGUCGCACCAAAGGUUAUGUUUCCGGGGCCCUCGCCAUCCCGUCAUGAUCCUCGCCGCGACCCUCUCGUCGGCGCCGGCCGUCGACGGGAAGUGCAUCGCCGGCGCCAUCCUCAACGUGCACGGACCCAAAGGCGUUGACAAAUGGCACUACGUCUGCUUCUGGCGCCUCGGCUCGCGGAUCGCCAUCCAGCCACUAGAGGUCUGCGCCGGCGUUGGGUGGUCGGCGCAGGACAUCGCCUUCUUCUACGGCCGCUUCUUCGUACUGACCAAGGGCGAGAACCUCCGGGUCUACACUGUUCUCGACCAACCAGAAGAGGAUCUUGGCACUCGCGGCGCCGUCUUCUACUAUACUGGCCGCGGCGACACGCGGGACUACGCAGAACCCCGCGCCGGAUACCUCGUCGAGUCACGCGGCGAGCUCCUCAUGGUGGCCAAGGAGUGGAUGCCUGACGACGGGGCCACCUCAUGCGUUCGGCUCUUUGCGCUGACUCCGGUCGCGCACCGCAAGCCCGAGUUCUCUCUCGCUUGGACUGCGGUCGGAAGCCUCGAUGGCCGGCUGCUGGUCGUCGGCCCUGGCUGCUCGAGGGCGUACGAGUGCGCCGACUUCCCGUCCGGCUGUGUCGAGGAGGGCGUAUAUUUUCUCGACGACCGCACCUACUACAACGAGACCUACUACGAGCCCUUCUUCCCCAUGCAGAGUAACCCCGGCGAGUUUGCCUGCGCCGACAAUGGAAGGUGCUGCCUGCUGCCCGCUCGUCCCGAGCACUGCUUUCCCAUGAAGCCGGGGGAAGGCUCCUUCUCAGCUUACUCGCCACCGGUCUGGCUCCUACCUUGA